This 497-nucleotide ribosomal RNA is filed under the name uncultured bacterium. Its description in RNAcentral is "partial 16S ribosomal RNA". It matches the Rfam family "Bacterial small subunit ribosomal RNA", at positions 28 to 507 of the family's 1533-position model. The record is from RNAcentral.
GAUGAACGCUGGCGGCGUGCCUAAUACAUGCAAGUCGAGCGAACAGACGAGGAGCUUGCUCCUCUGACGUUAGCGGCGGACGGGUGAGUAACACGUGGAUAACCUACCUAUAAGACUGGGAUAACUUCGGGAAACCGGAGCUAAUACCGGAUAAUAUAUUGAACCGCAUGAUUCAAUAGUGAAAGACGGUUUUGCUGUCACUUAUAGAUGGAUCCGCGCCGCAUUAGCUAGUUGGUAAGGUAACGGCUUACCAAGGCAACGAUGCGUAGCCGACCUGAGAGGGUGAUCGGCCACACUGGAACUGAGACACGGUCCAGACUCCUACGGGAGGCAGCAGUAGGGAAUCUUCCGCAAAGGGCGAAAGCCUGACGGAGCAACGCCGCGUGAGUGAUGAAGGUCUUCGGAUCGUAAAACUCUGUUAUUAGGGAAGAACAAAUGUGUAAGUAACUAUGCACGUCUUGACGGUACCUAAUCAGAAAGCCACGGCUAACUACGUG